GAGAGUGGGUAGUCCGCACGAGCGCACCUCACUUUUAGUUGCCAUCAUUAAGUUGGGCACUCUGAAAGAACUGCCAGUGAUAAGCUGGAGGAAGGUGGGGAUGACGUCAAGUCCUCAUGGCCCUUACGUGUUGGGCUACACACGUGCUACAAUGGUAUCUACAACAGGAAGCAAAACGGCAACGUUAAGCAAAUCCCUAAAAGAUACCUCAGUUCGGAUUGCACUCUGCAACUCGAGUGCAUGAAGCUGGAAUUACUAGUAAUCGUGGAUCAGCGUGCCACGGUGAAUGCGUUCCCGGGUCUUGUACACACCGCCCGUCACACCAUGGGAGUUGGUUCUACCUUAAGGCAAGGUUUUAAACCCUUGACCACGGUAUAGUCAGCGACUGGGGUGAAGUCGUAACAAGGUAGCCGUAGGGGAACCUGCGGCUGGAUUACCUCCUUUCU
RNAcentral lists this ribosomal RNA (446 nucleotides) under uncultured Pelagibacterales bacterium. RNAcentral's name for it is "bacterial SSU rRNA". It matches the Rfam family "Bacterial small subunit ribosomal RNA", at positions 1072 to 1533 of the family's 1533-position model. Lineage: Bacteria; Pseudomonadati; Pseudomonadota; Alphaproteobacteria; Candidatus Pelagibacterales. The record is from RNAcentral.